Non-coding RNA from Homo sapiens (human), 148 nucleotides. It matches the Rfam family "Metazoan signal recognition particle RNA". Rfam says of the family: The signal recognition particle (SRP) is a universally conserved ribonucleoprotein. Lineage: Eukaryota; Metazoa; Chordata; Mammalia; Primates; Hominidae. The record is from Rfam.
GCUGGGUGAGGUGGUGCACAGCUGUAAUCCCAGUGCUUUGGGAGGCUGAGGUAGGAGGAUGGCUUGAGCCCAGGAGUCUGAGCCUGCAGUGAGCUAUGACUGUGCCACUGCACUCUAGCCUGGGCAACAGAGUAAGACCCUAUCUCAA